GACAAACUGAGGUACGCAGGGACGAGGUGAUUUAUCAGGAGGUCGCACAAGGAAAAGGAGCUGGAUAUUGGGCGAUGCUAAGAUACGCUUUAAUUUGAAGGGUUUGGGGGUUUUUUCCCCCUCUUCCCUGACAGCGUCUUCUAAACCGUGUCUUCUCAACCAGAACGGUCUGAGAGUGCUUUACGUUUCUAAAAGCACGCCUUUGUCAAAAGGGUCAGGAGGCCAGCUCCUCAGUUAAGGACCGACCUGUUGAGACCUACCACGAAUCCUCCAGCAAGACGUGAGAAAGGCAGAUUUGACGUACUGAGUGUUUCCAAGGGAAAAAAAAGGAAAGAAAAGCUUCCGAAUUUUGUAAGGCAUCGUGCAAAAUCAGCAAAGGGCAGAGAUGCAGCAAAUGCCAGGAAUCUGUUUUUAUUUAGGGGAAAACCUGAGAGUGCUGUUUGGCAAGCUGUUAUUUUCUUACCAUUGAAAACGUCACAUGGCAAAUGCUAGCGCUCAAGCAGAAUCGCAGCUUGACAGCUCUGGCAGAAGAAAAAGGGGCAACAGCGUGAGCCUCCACCACAUCGCCUCAGAAGUGCUGUCAAACCCAGCUUGAUCUUUCUUGCAUGGGUGAGGCCCAAGGCUUGCUGUGUCUGAAAGCUUAGCUUCAUGGCCGGGGGUGUAAAUUCAUACCAGUUAUGCUGCUGUUCUUCAGUAGGUGAACAUUUGUCUACUCUAAGCUGGAGGGAAAAUGAAUGCAUUAAAAAUUGAUGUAAAACCUGAGUAACACCUUCAGGUCUCUUGUCAAGCCUGAAUCUAUCUUCUGCAGGCAGCUGAGCCCUGCCUCGCUUCUCUGUAUUUUAGGAAAAAAGGCAGUAGCAGAGAGAAAUGGUUCUGCAAUCAGGUCGCUGCCUUAAGAGGAUCAAGUGGACUUCAUGUUAGCUGUAAUUUCCUGAAUUUGAAUGGAUUUUCAGCAUGAAUAUUGACAAUCGCCUAUGCAUGUUAGCAUCCUGGAGCAUACUUUUCAAUGUAAUGCACUGAAAAGCAACGAGGAAGGACUAACCUCUGUGCGGAUACUAAUCCCAGAGGGCUAUUAUCUCCCUUAGAGUUAGUGGA
Molecule: long non-coding RNA, 1095 nt
Filed under: Struthio camelus australis
Lineage: Eukaryota; Metazoa; Chordata; Aves; Struthioniformes; Struthionidae
Description: lncRNA (ENSSCUG00000017133.1)
Source: RNAcentral